This is a long non-coding RNA of Silurus meridionalis, 795 nucleotides long. RefSeq lists it as uncharacterized. The record is from RefSeq and is a predicted model, not a curated record. NCBI's taxonomy places the organism in Eukaryota, Metazoa, Chordata, Actinopteri, Siluriformes, Siluridae. The transcript is spliced from 3 exons.
GAAGAAGAUAGUGGACAAUAUUGCUUCAAGUCGAGCCACUGAGAAUUCUGUGGUGAGGUCCAUGGCGUUAAGGCCAUUCUCCCGGAAGGCUUCGAUAAGGUUCCAGAUGUCCACUGAGUGCACUGCAAGCAGAGAGGUAUAAGCUACAGGAGUCAGUGGCUUCUUUGCAGUAGGAGCAGCUGCAUUUUCAGAGAGUCUGCUCUUCAGACCUGUUGCAUCUUGAAGCCCUAUUUCUGGAUGGGGUUCUCAUCAAAUAAAAAAAAUCUCGCUGCCACUAAGGAUGCUCCACAUGAACAGCUCCACAUGCUCCACAUGAGAAGCCUAAUAAACCCUUGAGAUUACUGUGGAGGGUUAUCACUUAGUAACCAGGAAGAAGGCAGUGGGCUGCAAUUAAUACAAAGAGUUUUGCUACAAUAGCUUAGGACUAUAAUUGCCAUUGAGUUUUGCAAUUGAGUCUCCAGCAGUGAACUUAAAAAAUGAUGAAAGUAUAAUAAAUGAAUAUCAUAUAAUUCAGAGGAAGAUGGGCUUUGUUUAGAAUCAGGUUUCUAUAAAGGUUUCUUUCUCAUAUCAUCUUAGGAUUUUUUUUUCAUGCGACUGUCACCUUUAGGGAGAAAUGUACAUGACUGAACUGGCAUAAAUCUGUAUUUCUGUGAAUCCGCUCUGUAACAAUGUUUAUUCUCAAAGUGCUAUGUUGUUCUCCUGUGAUAUUACUGCAACGGGUUGUUUAUAGGAACUUAGAGCCAUAUGUAAAACAUGUGUUGUGUGUUUUUGUUUUUUAAUCAUUAAUCGGUGUAA